This 213-nucleotide ribosomal RNA is filed under the name uncultured bacterium. RNAcentral describes it as "partial 16S ribosomal RNA". It matches the Rfam family "Bacterial small subunit ribosomal RNA", at positions 524 to 736 of the family's 1533-position model. The record is from RNAcentral.
UACGUAGGGGACGAGCGUUGUCCGGAGUUACUGGGGCGUAAAGCGCACGCAGGCGGUCUGCUAAGUUUGGAGUGACAGUUGGUGGCUUAACUGCCAAAGUGCUUCGAAAACUGACAGACUUGAGGGCUUCAGAGGACGACGGAAUCCGGGUGGAGUGGAUGAAUGCGUAGAGAUCCGGAGGAACACCAAAGGCGAAGGCAGUGUCCUGGGGAG